This 6898-nucleotide unclassified non-coding RNA is filed under the name Dimorphilus gyrociliatus. Its description in RNAcentral is "sAM_MT_RSMB_NOP domain-containing protein". The record is from RNAcentral. Lineage: Eukaryota; Metazoa; Annelida; Polychaeta; Dinophilidae.
AUUAAUGAGUCGUUUCAUAUAGGGAUCGUUUCGAAGCCAGUUAUUCUUCUCUUCAAUUUAGAUUAUGCCACCUGAACCGACUGUCAUGAAUUCCAAGGAUAAUGAAGAUAAUUUAAUAAAGUCACAAGGCUAUAGAAACGAUAGGCUAGUUAAGGAAUUUUUUUCUAAAGAGCCAACAAUUUAUUCUCAUGAAAUUUACAAGAAAUCAUCGAGAGUAUUUGAAAAGCUAAGAGAAGAGAAUUCGGCAAAUUCAACGGAGGAGAUAAAUUUUGAGAAUGAAAAUGAAAUGAGACUAACAUUCCAAUUGGCCUACGAUACUUUAAUAUGUAAGUAAACUGAUUGUUCGUUUUUUGCCUGUUUGCAUACUUUUCCGUAUGCUUGUUUCAUUCCUGCUAAUUAUCUCUCUCUUCACAAUAUUUAAAUAUGGUUAUUUUUGAAGAGAGGAAAAAAAAUCGAAUUUGCCACUGCAUAAUAAUCUUAUUCAGAUGAUUGUAAUCCGAGUAUUAAUUAGUAAGGAAUUAACUUUUUAUUAGUAUAAACCUUCCGCUCUGAUAAGUUUAUGAACGGUUUGAAACAGAACAAUAGAAUAUUUCAUAGAGGAUCUACUCAUGAAUUGUACACAGAUCCACUUAUAUUCUCUUUCAUUUUUAUUCUUGUUUUUUACAUUCCAUAUACUAUGUAAAGUACUCUUCUUUGCGAAAUUUUUAACAACUUUUCUCCGUCUUCGUCUCUGUCUCUUUCCCAUAAUCAUUUCUUCCUCUGUCUAUUAUACAUUUCAUUCCGUAAAGAGAGGAGGUAAAAAGAGAGAUUAUAAAAAUUAAUCUCUUCAAUAAUCAAUAAUCAUACAUUGUUAAAAGGCUACAUAGCUUAUGGCUUUUGAACACUAAUUUUAUGGUAUAUUACUUACGGUACUUCCGCUCGAGUGAUUGUCAUCUUUUAUUGCUGUUAUUUAACUUUUUAGCCAACUUUCUUAAAGAAUGCUUUUAGGGUAAAUCAUUAAACUUUCUAAUAUCUUUCUACCUUAUUUAUCCAAUAUAUCGUUAUUUUCUAUCUCAUUUUUGAUGGGAUAUUUAUUCUCUUUUCUCUUUCAUACAAAAAAGCAAAUGAACGAUAAACUUUAACAAAUAUGACUUAGGUGCUAGUUACAUAGUCACAUAAAAAAAACUAGCCUCUGUCCUACUAGCCGAACAUGAAAACAGUUAGAAAAAAAAAACAACACAAUCCCAAUUUUUUUCUGUAGGCCUAUUGAUUAGUGAUAAAGAAAUAUUUAUAAAUGUUCUCUUUUUUUUAUUUUGCUUUUAUGUAUAUACACGUAAAAAUUGUUACGUUUGGAGAGCGAGAGAGAGAGAGAGAGAGGGAGAAAGAAAGAAAGACUGUUAUACAAGCGGAUUUUUUAUUCUAUAUAUUUUCAACACCCCUACUGUUGACCCAAUGAUCUAUUAAAGUUUUCAUUCUCUCAGGCUUAUUCCAUUCCCCUCCUCUCUUUUCUUCUUUUUUUGUGUCUGAAAUUCAUAUACAGUUCAUAAGUCUUUCUAUUAUUAAUAAGGAUUAGGGAUCUUCUAUUAAAUUCCCAAUACAAAAUUAAUAAGCAAAUAGCCUAUAGGUAGACGUUUAAAAAAAUAAUAAAGAUUGCGUAAUAAAUAAGAAGUAACGAAGACUGAGAUUAAAUAUGGAUAUAGCAUAUUUAGGCUAUUCAUAUUCUCUAGCACUGUUUAUUUGUUAUUACACUACACACAGAUAAACAAAUAUUACAAGAAUUAGCCGAAGAAGUGGCUUUCUUUUCUCAGUUUCCGGAAGUGAGUUGAAUAACAUUUUAGGUUGCCGUACUGAUUAAAUUGAUUGUAAGAAUUUGUUUACGAUUUAUUGGCAGUUCCGGGACCAAGAGUCAAUAUGCUAUGUUAUGAUUUACGACUUCCAGAAAAGACGCUUCCAAACCAGAACGCCUAUAGAAGAUGAAAUUUUAGACGAUGAUCUAUUGGAUAUUGAAUCGGCAAUUAUAAAAUGUCGAACAAAAUUAGGCGCCGCUUUGGCUAGAUCGAGAAUAAAAGCGCAAGUUCAACAUUUACAAAUGCUACUUCCGGCAAACUGUAGAGAUACGGGCGAUAAACAACGAUACUUUUACACUUGGAUUAAUGAAUUUAAAACAACUAAGGAAGAGGCUUUAAGGAAUUUACAUUUGUACGGUUUCGAUCCAAUUGAGAAUUUAAACAACAUAAAGGAGUGCGAAUACUUUCUAGAUCGUCAUUGCGAUGACGUCAUCGCCUUUUGUAUGGAAGAUCGGGAAAAGUUGAAAGAAACCGCUUUGUUCAAAGAAAAUCGUUUAGUUAUGCAGGAUAAGUCAUCUUGUUUGGCCGUAAAUAGCGUAAAGUCCUUGGUAAACGACGACGAAGACAUUCUAAUUUAUGGAUCAAAUUCUGGAUUAGACGCCGCACACUUAGCGUCACUUUUAUGUAAAUUAAAUAAUACAAUCUAUGUUUUUAUAAAAGAAGAAAAACUUGAUAAAGUAAAAAGAAACUUUGAAAGAAUAGGUGUUGAUAGAAAUAUUCAACUUAUUACGGAUCCUCUUGAAUCUAUUGCCGGUGAUGAUAUACGCUUUAAACAUAUUAAAUUAGUUUUGUUUAAUGCCAAAUGCACUAAAACUGCUGUUGCAAAUCCGGUUGAAUUUCUGGUUGCUGAAGAUGAAGAUAUGCUCUUACUAAAGGAAUUUAUUAAUAGCGAUACAAAUCCGGAUAGAUUAGGAAAAGUGAUGUGGCAAAUAAAUUCUGAUUUACGAAAAUGCUUGAAAUUUCCAAGAGUUCAAGGUAUUGUAUACUUGACGAGAUCGAAUCAAGAAAUCGAAAAUGAGACUGUUGUAAAGAAAGCCAUUGAUUUUAUUAAUACUGUUCAACAAAAGAAGAAUCCAUUUAGAGUUUCUCCACCUGUUCUUCCUCUUACAGGCGAAGAGAUUGAUGAACAGGAUAUACUCCAUGGAAAGUUUAUCAAAUUUCCAUCUUCAAAAAAUAUGUCGGGCUGCUUUAUAGCUACUUUAACCAGAGAGGCGGAAGAUAUUAAGGAAGCUGCCAAAGACAUCCUCGCCAGAGCUGCGGCAAAGGGGUUAUUUUCUAAGAAUAGUACUUCCGCUCCAAACGAAGAUAAUAGUCCACCAUCGAAACCGACCAAAAAAACUAAAAAGAAAACCAAAUCGGCCAAAAUCAAAAAACUUGAAAAUUCAAAACCGUCUUCGUCAACUGUACUACCCCCAGUUAGUUCUCCAAAUCUAGCUCAACGUUAUCGUUCAAAAGAUCAGUCGCAUGAAUCCUUAUUAAAGCAUGACAUCACUUCCAAGUCACGUGAUACUCAUUUAAACAGAGAUGUUAGUCAUAAGACUUUUUCGUCACCCGUUACUGCUCACUUGUACGAUUUAGAAAUAGAGACCUCGAUAGCUAAAGAAAAAGCUACAAAGUUGCCGAGGUCUAGAACGGAAAAUCGACUUUAUCGAAGGCUACCUAACGAUAAUGAAACGUCGAUAAAUUCCGUUACACAAAAUUCCAAUUCUUCUCCGCAACGAUUAUUCAAUCAGAGAACUGACGAGAACGGAGGGGAAAAUUUCCUAGAAAUGUCUAAUGCAAGCGAUCAGUUAGGAAUGGCAAGAUCCAAAUCGGAGAGCAGAAUAUUACAAAGAGCGAAUACAAGCGAGUCUCUAGACGCUUAUUAUAAAACGAAAUCAACAAAAUUGUCAAGGUUUUCUAGACCAAAAUCGAAAGUGAGAUUAUCUAAAAAGGUAUGGGAAAGAUUAACAAGCGCUACUAACGCUAAUUCAGCUUCUAAUGACGUCUUACGACGAAAUCCUAUUCAACAUCCAAAGCCUUUCAGAUGAUUAAUCUAAUUAAAAAAAAUUGAACUUGAUUCUCCUCAUCGUUGCGUAAAACUUUAACCAUCUCACUUGAUUAAUUCUCUGUUCAUUUUUACAUUAAUUUUCUAUUAAUAUUUUACUUUCUUGCCUUAUUUUUUUUCAUUUGAUUUUUGAUGUGAUACUUCAGCUUCUUUUAUUUAAUUAGAGUUUGAUGAAAUCUAUUGAUAUUUCGUUAUUGUUUUCCUUCUUUUUCCCCUAAAAAAGAUAAUGAAUUCAAGAGCAAAGAUAUCAGAAGAAAAGACAACUGAAUAGAAUUAGAAGAAGGAGUGGCAUUUGAAUUGAAAACGUUUUUCCCAUUUUCUACUGUAAUUAUUAAUGUUUAGCUUUCCUAUUUUGUUAUUGAAAGAAGAUUUUGUCUGUCUCUCUUGAAAGAAAGACAAAUGAAAAGAAAUAGAACGAAAAGAUGACUGACGGACAAAGAGACAGGUAGAAAAACAGACAGACAACCGGUACUUUUUUUAUAUUUAUGCAAGUGGGAGGGAGAGAGAAAGAGAUAUAUGGAUAGAUAUAUAGACAGAUAGCUAGAUAGAUAGAGGCAAAGAGAGAGAGAGAGAGAGAGACAAAGACAGACCUUAAUUAUGUUUAACUAUAAUAAAUUCGUAUCACUUUACACACGACUUAUGCAAUUUAUGAUAUUAAAUUAUCAUAUUAGAAAUUGCUUGUUUCAAAUGAAACAAACAAUGUAGGAAAUAUAGGAGUAUUAAUUUGCUAUACAAUAUGAAAGAGAAGAGAAAAGAUUAUUCAUACACGGUCAGGUAUAUUAUAUUUAUUAUGAACGAAACAAAAAGCAUAAACAAACUCCAAGUACAAAACAUUUUCAUGAUAUACAUUAAUUUACUUAAUAAAAAUUUCAAUGAUUUACAUUAAUAAUAAGUGCUAACUCUUACAAAUAUAUUACUGUAUAAGUAUUCACAACAUUCAAUCCUUUUUCACCUGCCUAGCUAUUUUUAUAUUUUAAACUUGUACACCCUCUCUUUUUCUUCUUGUUUGUUUUAUCGUAUAGGGUAGCAUUCUCAAUUACUAACACUACUAUAGGCGGGUGGACUCGAGUUCAUAUAGAAUUGAACCGUUUCGUAACUAGGCGGCUUUAUAACGUCCAGUGUUACUCGGGGGCAAGUUUGAGAUACGGUAGGUAUUUCUCUUCCAUCUUCCGAAUGGUACUCGGGGGGUUCACUAUCGGAAUUUUGCCUUUCGGAAACUUCGGCUUCAAUCUCGGGUUCCGGAUGGGAAAGUCUCCCUAUUUUCAACAUAAUAAUAAAUUUCUUGAGACGACUUCUAGUGUAAACUUUCUUUGAUACUGAACAAACGACAAUGAGCCCAAAGACAACAAGAGUUCCAACAGAUACUGGAAUAAUAAAGGUCAAAAGCUGAUUUUGUUGUUGAUCAUCGUGAGAGAAGCAGCUGAUCUUCUUGGUAGACGCUCUAAAUGUUUGAUUUUUAGUGGAGAAGACGCACUCAAAAUAGUCGGUUUUAUGUAAUUCAGAGCAUUUAUAUUUCCUUUCAACGAAACCAGUAGAAUUACGAAUUUCUAUAUAAGGCAUACGAUAGGAUCUCUUUAGAUAUUUUUUAAAGCGAUUUUGAAAAGAAUAUCUAAAAAAUGUAAAAUUAACUACAGCGUAUCGAGAACAUCCUUUAACCAUACAGCUUAUCAAUGUUGAAUCGGAUUUGUCUUUUGUUGAUUUUAUCUCAAAUGUCGACUUAUCAACUUUAUUAUAUUUCGUUAUGGCGUUUAAUUUUAUAGACGUUGAAUAAUCUUGACCGUUAAAAUUACAUUUUCCGUAGAAACUAUCAGUCGAUUUCCUAUUUAAUAGUUGAUAUCCGACAAUCAUAUAAUUCAUAUCGCAGUUGCAUAAUAACCUGUUUUUAUUUAAAUUUAUGUUAAUCAAUCCGCUCUGAUUUCUGCGCAAUAGUUCUGUUACAUGAGACGAUUGAGCCAUGUUUGAUAGUUCAUUAUUUGAUAAAUCGAGAGUUUCCAAAUGAGUCAACGUUCUGGGGACACUAAAGGUGGUAAUUGCAUUGUAAGAGAGGUUUAAACUCUUUAAAUUAUUUCCAGAAAUGUUGGGUAUAGACUGGAAUUUAUUAAAACUUAAAUCAAGCUUUUCUAUACUGGAAAAAUUCAUUUCCAAAUUUUCUAAUCCGCAAAAUCUACAAGAUAAUUCCUUCAGUUUCUUUCUUUGAGGAAGAUUAAUAGAAGUUAGAGAAAUCCUUUUCGAUUUGCUUCGAAUAGCCAGACUUUUCAACUGAUUCAAAUCUUCAGAAAUUGAAAAUGAUUGACAAUUUACAUUCAAGUAGACAGUUUUUAAAGUUUCUUUACAAAAGUUGAAUUUAAAUUCGCAAAGAUUAACCCUUGCAUUUAGAUAGAAGCUUUCCAACUUCAUAUUGUCGCAUAGAUCUUGUGAUGAGUCUAGACUCAAGCUAAUAUAAGAUGAAAAGAUAAUAAUGGUCAAGUGAUUUAGACUUAUGUUUUUCAAGCUUUCCAAGAAAGCUGAAUAAGAGACAAAAGCUUUACGUUUAUAUAUUUCCAGAUUAUGAACUUUUCCUUUAAACGAUGAAGAAAAGGUUUCUAUUGAACUCUUAAUCUUUAAAUUCCUUAUAGACUGAUUGAAAUCAGGUUUAAAAAUUAUUUUUUUAACAUUUUCACAAUUGAUUUUUAAAGUUGUGAAAUGACUCCAACUGUUUGAGAGCGAUAUAAUUCGAAGGAUGGUGGCCGAAUCUUUACAAUUCACGUGAUCUUCAUUACCCCUCUGCUUGUUGUCAAACUCUCUAUAAAAAUUCGUCAAUUCAUAACAAGAAGUCAUGUAAUAAUCCAUAAAUAAAAAUAACGAAAUAAUCAGGCAUCUUCCAAAAAUCAUAACAAACAAUAAGGUAUUUCUUCUCUUUUCCCUAUUUUUCUACCUUCUUAUUUAAAACAUUUCUCACUUCGACGUAAAAGAGACUGUUUUAGUAUUACUCUCUUCAUCUGCAAAUGAAUCAAUCCCAGUUUGCAUCACACAUGCAUUCAUGUUU